This 6825-nucleotide long non-coding RNA is filed under the name Equus caballus (horse). RNAcentral's name for it is "lncRNA (ENSECAG00000050551.1)". The record is from RNAcentral. Lineage: Eukaryota; Metazoa; Chordata; Mammalia; Perissodactyla; Equidae.
CCCUCCUCUGUUUUCUGCAGGAGUGUGUGCAAGAUUGCUAUCAUUUCCUCCUUAAAGUGCCUUAUGAAGUUUAGCCCGGGCGGCAAUUCUGGUCUCCAUCCCUCCGUUUUGUCUGCAAGCAGAGGUCUCACCUUCAUUUUUGGAAGGUAUUGUCCUGGGUGUCACAUCCUAGACCACAGAGAACAAGUCUGAACAAAUGUCAAAAACUUCCUGUCCUGGUGGCCGGCCCCGUGGCCUACUGGUUAAAUUUCCUCAUGCUCUACUUAGGUGGCCCGGAUUUAUGGGCACGGAUGGGCUCAGGGCCAAUCUUCCUCAAGGGAAAAAAAAGAAAGAUUGGCAAUGGAUGUUAGCCCAGGGCUAAUCUUCCUCACAAAAACAAACAAAAAGAGCUUCCUAUCUGCAGACAGCAUUCUCUCAUCACAGUGCAAUUCAGAAAUCGUUUUUGGAAGAUAAACUUGGAAACUCAGGACCAGACUUCAUAAAGCGCGUCGGUCCAGCAGAAAGCCGUCACGGGCGCUGUAAUGAGUGCUCAGAGCUGUGCAGGAAUGAGGACAUCCCCUCACUCCUCGCAUACUCCAGCUGGCCUUGCAGAGCCUGUGGCCUGGCCGCCUUGUACUUUUCAGGAGCCAGGGAGCCGGGAGAUGCGACCAGAGCCGGGGCCGUGGGCCGGCCUGUGGUGCCUCUUCCUCCCCACAGGCAGUUGACUGAACACGGCGCACCCUAGACGGGCCUCUGAGCCGGUUUUUGGGAAUAGCUGUUUUAUUUUAUUUACAGUCAAUUACAGGAAAUAAAUCACCUCUUAGUUUUCUGGGCAACGGUUGGCUCCGAGCUUCGAGAAUUACAGGACGAGCGUGGAGUUGGGAGGAGUCUUGUCCAUGUUGCCACCCAGGAACUUACCCCUGGGAAGGAGGCCAGGCCUCAGAGGUGCCCAGCCUGGGCCCCGGGCCCCGGGCCCCAAGCCGCAGGCGCUGUGCACGUGGAGGUUUUUCACAAGCGUGUUCCCAGAGAGCCGCUGCCCCCCACCCCUACGGCAGCAGGCUCCCUCUGCUUCUCAUGACCGUGUCUUCAGACCGGCCCGUGGCUCAGGCGUCGGGAGCACAGGGGCCUGGGCUGCUCCCACACGGUCAGAAAAUCAGGGAUGUGUUGUCUGUCCAGGUGCUGAGGGACCACGUUCCUGAGCGAGCGCUCCCACGGGGUGUGGCUGUCAGAGUCGUCACACGGUGGGGCUGAAGUUCUCCAGCUGGGAAGUGGCCUCAGUUCGGCGGCCAGUCCAGGCCCGCGGUUGCCUCCCUCCCCAUCCCAAGACUGCUCCGUGCCUACUAGUUUCUCUCUCUGUCUCCCUCUCUCUCUCGUAAAUGACCUUUGAGAGUUGGAAGAACUGUUAAUCUUUCCCCAAAGUUUAUUGAGGAAUGGACAAAUUAGGAAAAGUUUUCUUUUUCUAUUUGUAUUAAGAUUUCUGGUUUGUAACUUUUUUUUUUUGUUUUUUGCUGAGGAAAAUUGGCCCUGAGCAAACAUCUGUUUCCAAUCCUCCUCUUUUUUUGGGUGAGGAAGAUUAUCCCUGAGCUAACAUCCGUGCCCACCUUCCUCUGUUUUGUAUGUGUGACGCCUCUACAUACACACACUGUCAGCAUGGCUGCUGAGUGGUCUAGGUCCACACCCAGGCUGAACCUGCAAACCCCAGGCCGCUGAAGGGGAGCAUGCAAAACCCUAACCACUGUGCCACGGGGCCGGCCCCUAGCCGUGUUUUAGUUGAAGAAGUUAGGUCAGUUUUUAUCCAGCCAUCACUACUGGACUUGGUGCGUAUGUUCUGGCACCAGCUGCAGAGUUUCCAACAGAAACUGGGGAAGCGGAAUUGCAGUGGUUGUUUCACCUGACCUGGCGACUCCACAGUGGGGACCUGACCGGUUUGCUGGGUUUCUGCUGGUUCCCCAUCCACCUCCUCUGCUGUGGGCUCUCACUGUUGGGUGCUGCACCGGGCAGCUUGAGCUGUGCCGCAUAACCAGCCACCCGGAUUCAGAGCUGAGCGUGUCCUCCGAGCUCGUGAACCUGUGCUGGGCGGUUCUGUCACUGCUCAGCACCACUGCUUGUUUGCCGCCCCUGGGCUCUCACCCCGGCCCGCUGGCCCCGUGUGUCACGGCAGGGGCGCUCCAGGAGCCAUGAGGGGGCACCGAUGCGCCAGCACCCUUCAGUCAGUGCUGGCAUGGGGACGCGCGGCCACCCCCUCAGCCCAGCCCAGCUCUCGGGUGGCACGUCCACACUGCCGCCUCGUGGGACCAGCUGUAAGGCCACCUUGCGGGGGCUGUGGGCCUGCAGGGGAGCACCCACCACUUUCUCAGGCUGCACUGAGGGCAUCUCUUCCCAAAGGUUCACAGGGAAGGAGGGAGGCAGAGUGAAUGAGCAGGUGCGGCCCGUCGUGCCUGGAAGCCCGAUGCCCAGCGAGCGCCAGGACUGUGCUGGCCGGGGAGGCGUGGGGAGCGGCUGCUGCUCGGGGACAGCCCCAUCGAGGCCCAUGCCCUCAGCAUAGAAGUCUGCUCCACCCUGGGAGCUCAAGUGGUGCUGGGCUGCCGUCCUGCGUGUGGCUCUGGGUCUGAACAGCUUGCAGGACUCCUGCCCCAGGGCCCACGCCCGCCGUGGGUCACGCGGCCCCUGAUCUUACUGUUGCCUCUCGCUGUCGCACGUGGCCUGGUCUGUCUGUUUGGAGGACUUGGAGGCUGACCCAGGUCCUGGCGGACGUUAGGGUAGUGGGGGAGGAGGAUGCAAUAGGGCCGAGGGACGGGUAAGGCAGAGGAGGAACGGGAGAGGGGCGCCUUGCAGGACUCCGAGACACGAGUGAGGCUGUGAGGACGAUGGACGGGAGACAAAGGCUCCAUCCUGUGUGACCCCACAGGGGACCCUCUGGAAGGGAUGAGCUAGGGGACAGUGACGGGACCAGUGUCCCAGGGGGAUGGAUAGGGACAGAUGGACAGACGGAGCAUGGGGGCUUCAGGGCAGUGAAACUCCUCUGCACGACCCAUAACGGUGGACACACAUCAUUACGUAUCUGUCCAAACCCACAGACCGUCUGACACCAAGCCUGGUGACGACCAGGGUCGUUUCCUGGGCAUCUUUGUCCCCAGGGGCCGGGACGGACAGGCCACAUCCACCUGUCGGGUGGCCAGGAGAGCUGCGGGCUGGGGAGGCAUCGUUGGGGUCCUGGGACAUCUGGGGGGACGCAGCUCGACCCGGGCGGGCGGCCUUGUGGGGCCUGGUCCAGGACGGGGUGUGUUCUGAAGCCCAGGGCCUCCCGCCGCGUGGGGCUGCUCGGGGCUGCCAGGGCUUAUUCUCGGGACUCCUGUGUUUGUGGGUUUGCUUUUUUCUGCAGCACAAACUCCCCACUGUGUGUGGGGCUGAGCUCUCCAUGCACACAGGGCUGGCCCGCUGUCCACGUGUGUGGCCGCCGUGCCGGCCUUGUAGUGGACACUCAUAAACUUCGGUGGGAGGAGGGGGGGAGGAUGCCUGAAGGAGGAGGGAGAAGCAGUGACAGAUGAAACCCCCUUCUUCCUCUCGGGGUCGGGGUUAGAAGGUGGAAGCAGAGCGGGGAGCCAGUGAGCGCACUGAUCUGCAGGGAAGACCGUGCCCUGUGGGCCAGGAUGCAGCCCAGGUGGCCGGGGGCCAAGGGCCGAGGGUCAGGGUGAGCGGGCCCCAGGGGGCGUCUGGAAUGCAUGAGGCGCUACCCCCUCCAUGCAGUGGGGCCACCUGGGCCAGCUUCUCUCUGGCCGGGAGGGAGGAAGGCCUGGGAGGGGUGUCUGGAGGCUGGCCAGUGCCAGAGGCUUGUGUCACAGAAGAUGGGGGUGUGUGGCCCACACACGCCGGUCCUGUGUCCUGCCACCUGCAGCAGAGCCACACGCUCUCUGCGCCCGUCUGCUCCAAAGGCCUCCCAGGGGCGGGAGGGGGACCCUCAGGGACGCCGUGUUCCCACCCGCCUCACAUCCUCCGGCAUUUUGGUUCCUAUGGGUGUGGGUGUGGGCCGGGCUGGACCCUGCGGUCCUGCCCUGCUGCUCCAGGUGCAUCCACGGCGGGUUCCUCCUGAGAGAUUCUCCCAGAAGCCGUCUGGGCUUCAGGAGGCAGCGCCUCCCCCAGGCUCCGUGCCCGCAGCACCCGGCGUGGGCCCAGGCGACUCAGCCCCCAACGCAGCCUUGGUCCUUCCUGCAGGAGCGGGCGGAGGUGCCGGGUGUCCGUGUGUCCGCUGGCCGCAUCCUCAGUGCACCUGCUAUCUGCUGCCCUGUUGGCGUUUAUGUGACCGGCUCCUACCUUAUGGUGUGCGUUAACGCUACAUCCUGCAUUGUGGUUAUGUUCUGCCCUGUAGGUACUUUGUGCACUGUCGUUAUUUUGGACGUUCUGGUUACUUGGUACUUUGUCGUGACGUUCCACACUGUCGUUCCAUAUUGUUACCUUGUAUGUUGUGGUACUUUCUGCCCUGUCCUGACAUUCUGCGUGUGGAACCGGCACCAAGACUACAGAAGCCAGAAUACUCACCCCAUCACCCGAUUUUUGAAGAGAAAACUUUCGGGUGUCCUUUGCAGCUUCAGUAUGUUUUCUCAGCCUCUAACGAGCAGGGGAAGCUGGGGCGGGCAGACCCCUUUGUUCCCAGUGCGUUUUCAGGGGGGGAACAGCUGCUUGGCUGCAUCUGGGUCCUGGGCUGGGGUCUCAGCGCAGAACCUGCUCCUCCGCGAGGAGCCUGUGGCAGGUCCCCUUUAGUCGCGGGCGGGCGGGCAGGCUUUGCUUCUGGGGAGAGCCCACCUCCCCGCUGUGCGAGCGCUGGCAGACGGCCCCAGAUCUGCCCCAGAUCGGCUGUCCUUGCUGACCUGUUUGUGCCCUGUGCGUCCGCACUGAGCCACAGCCGGGGUCCCUGCAGACACCGCCCCCUGCAAGGCCUCCCGCACCCUCAGCAGCCGCGCAGAGAGAGCUGCUCGGUCAGGGCGCGCCAGCUGUCCCCUUCUGCCUGCACAGCCGCCGGCCUGCCCGCCCGCGGGAGGGGUGUCCUGCCACCCCUCCUCCAGCCAUGUGCCCUCCUCAGCCUGUGGAACGCGCGCUGCCUGGGCUGGCCCCCACAGCGCCUGCCCAGCGACACACGGAGUGCGCUGAGCCCAGCCACCCCAACCGUCCUGCUGGGCGCAGCUGCCGCCCCAAGCCCAGCGGCCCCAGCCAGGCCCAGCCCCGAGAGCAAGAGCCAGAGCGAGGUGCCUGGCCUGGGCCCCUGCCGGCCCACGCGAGCCGACAUGCGGCUCCAUGAGCUGUCGCUGUGCCAGGACCCCAGCCUGAGGCAGGAGCUGCCCUCACUGGCCCGCGGCUGCGACUUCGUGCUGCCCUCCCGCUUCAAGAAGAGGCUCAAGGCCCUCCAGCAGGUCCAGGUCUGCCGCAUGUCACCCCCCCGGCCCACCCGGGUCCCUCCCGAGUCCCUCCACUGGUGGGGGGGGCGGGGCGGGGGCUGCUCGCACCCACCCGUGCAGGGAGUGUGGGUCCCGCGUGAAGUCGCUGGGAGAGCUCCUAAGAGCUCGCCCGUUGCUGGAGUUUUGGCAGUGGUGCCGUGGUGCGGCCAGGAUGCAAGCCCCCGGCGCGUGGACAGGUUCUGGCUCGGGUGGGGGCCUGACCCUGUGGUCCCGGUGGGAAGCCUGGCCCAUGGUCACGGCCAUCUCCGUGAUGACACGGCCCUGUGGGACGCCUGGCCUUCUCGGCCACAUGGUGUUUACUGGGCUGUGGGGAUCUGCACACAUGGGCCGGGCAAGUGGAUGGCUCGGUGCUGAUAGUGAGUAGUUGGCGUGUAGACGCCCUCUCCAUGGUUGAGUGUGCUCGGAGGAGUAAGACCUGCUGUGUCUACACCUUGGACGUGUUACGAGUUAGUUUGAGGGACCCAGUCGUUUGGAAGCAUCCGACAGCCCGUGAUCCCCAGAGUCUGUCUGUGACUCGAGGGGUCUCCGUGGCAGAUCUUGUCCUCGCCUCAGCUCUGGGCCGGUGCUGGGGGCAGGGCCACAGGGCUUGGGGCCGGGGCUCCUGCUCCUGAACGCCUCACCUCUUGCAGUUAGACACCCGCACGUUUUAUCCAGGCCAGGACUUAACGUCCUGUUGUGGCCAAAAAAAAUGACAUCCAAUCAGACCGGGCCAUCUGGGGGAAAAAAAGACCUGCUUUCUGCUGAUAUUUUAAUGGGAGUUUUUCUGGGAUCAUAUCUCAGCUUUUACACAGCUUGGGAAUUUUUCCUGUCUUGUGUCUUCCAACUUCUGAAGUUUUGUCUGCAGCUGGGGAAGGUGUGAGUCUGUCCCUAGAUUUUAAGGAAAGUGCCUGCAUUUGGAGACCCAGGAGUGGAAUCUGCCCCAUGCGGGUCCUGCUUUGACGAUAGGAAGACAGAUGUGGGGCAGUUAGGGUUUCUCCUGAUGGUCCACUGGGCUGUGUGGGAGACCCAGAAAUCCCUCCAGCCUCGCCCAGGAUGGUCGUGCCUGGGGGCCCGGCUCCCCGCAGAGCCCAUGCAGGAAAGUCUGCAUUGCUUUAGGGCUGCUGCUUAUCAAAUGAAAAUCACUUUUUGGGAAUCAAACUUUAUAAAUUCAUUUCAUGGGAAGUUGUUUCUUGUCACAGAAAACAUGUCUCAACCUUGUUUCUCAGCCGUGACGAUGUGCAUUGCGUAACGUGAGUGCUCCCUGGGCUGCAGGCGGUGGACCAGUGGGUCUUUCUCAUGGGGGUUGUGGGAGGAGCAGAAGGAGAGUUCUCCUGGCUCCUUUCACCCCAAGAUGUUGGAGGGCGGAUUUGGGACACAGCCUUGGGGGGUCAGCAAACAUCUUUGGGAGAGGCUGGGG